UCCCUGUGAAGGCCUGUGGAAUGCAGGGAGC
RNAcentral lists this non-coding RNA (31 nucleotides) under Rattus norvegicus (Norway rat). The record is from RNAcentral. Lineage: Eukaryota; Metazoa; Chordata; Mammalia; Rodentia; Muridae.